CUGGCCCUGCUGGUGUGUAGUCGCGAUCUUCAGAGAAAUGUCCUUUAUGCUGAUAGAAAACGUCUAGUCAUCUAGGCAGCAUAACAUAAUUGGCGAUGAUGAGUUUGCUGACUGUUUGUGCUGUCAUUGUUCCAGGGCUCAGUUCCAAGCUGUGUGAGGAGAUCCGUGACACGUUUCGGUCACAUUUGACUGGAUCAGUGGCGCCGCACCAAAGUGCAGAGAAUCCCGUUCAACACUACAGCACACUGCUGAGUUUAGCCUCACUGCAAAGCAGCAGAAUCCCUCUCUGUGAUGAAUACACACAUCACCUCACGCAUGGCUGGACUACUGCUGCCUGUCCACAGCCUCACCACAGUCAGGUAGGUACCCAUAGUCAGACACAAGUCUGUAUCCCAAAUGGCACCCUAUAUAGUGCACUACUUUUGACCAUAGUGCACUACUUUUGA
RNAcentral lists this long non-coding RNA (446 nucleotides) under Oncorhynchus kisutch (coho salmon). Its description in RNAcentral is "lncRNA (ENSOKIG00005044169.1)". Lineage: Eukaryota; Metazoa; Chordata; Actinopteri; Salmoniformes; Salmonidae. The record is from RNAcentral.